CAUCGGUUCUAUUUUGUUGGUUUCUAGGACCGCUGUAAUGAUUAAUAGGGAUAGUCGGGGGCGUCAGUAUUCAAUUGUCAGAGGUGAAAUUCUUGGAUUUAUUGAAGACUAACUACUGCGAAAGCAUUCGCCAAGGAUGUUUUCAUUAAUCAGUGAACGAAAGUUAGGGGAUCGAAGACGAUCAGAUACCGUCGUAGUCUUAACCAUAAACUAUGCCGACUAGGGAUCGGUAAGGCUCUAUAAAGACCUUAUCGGCACCUUAUGAGAAAUCAAAGUUUUUGGGUUCUGGGGAGAGUAUGGUCGCAAGGCUGAAACUUAAAGGAAUUGACGGAAGGGCACCACCAGGAGUGGAGCCUGCGGCUUAAUUUGACUCAACACG
This 379-nucleotide ribosomal RNA is filed under the name uncultured fungus. RNAcentral describes it as "SSU rRNA". It matches the Rfam family "Eukaryotic small subunit ribosomal RNA", at positions 828 to 1207 of the family's 1831-position model. The record is from RNAcentral. Lineage: Eukaryota; Fungi.